Molecule: ribosomal RNA, 426 nt
Filed under: uncultured bacterium
Lineage: Bacteria
Description: partial 16S ribosomal RNA
Rfam family: Bacterial small subunit ribosomal RNA
Source: RNAcentral
GUAGGGAAUAUUCCGCAAUGGGCGAAAGCCUGACGGAGCAACGCCGCGUGAGUGAAGAAGGUCUUCGGAUCGUAAAGCUCUGUCAACAGGGACGAAACAAGACGGUACCUGAGAAGGAAGCCACGGCAAACUACGUGCCAGCAGCCGCGGUAAUACGUAGGUGGCAAGCGUUGUCCGGAAUAACUGGGCGUAAAGCGCAUGUAGACGGCAUGAUAAGCCAAAUGUGAAAUGUAGGGGCUCAACCCCUACACGGCGAUUGGAACUGUCAAGCUUGAGUGUAGGAGAGGCAAAUGGAAUUCCCAGUGUAGCAGUGAAAUGCGUAGAGAUUGGGAGGAACACCAGUGGCGAAGGCGAUUUGCUGGACUGCAACUGACGUUGAGAUGCGAAAGCCAGGGGAGCAAACAGGAUUAGAAACCCGUGUAGUCC